This is a long non-coding RNA of Anas platyrhynchos (mallard), 1614 nucleotides long. RefSeq lists it as uncharacterized. The record is from RefSeq and is a predicted model, not a curated record. Lineage: Eukaryota; Metazoa; Chordata; Aves; Anseriformes; Anatidae.
AGCAUAAUGGUACUCCUGGUGCAGAAAGGAGGGCAAGAUGUUAUGAUCUGGGACCUGAUUAUUUUAACUAGGCCUGGUCCCUGCCUCCUGGGAAAUAGACGUUGUAGGAGAAAAUUGCUGGCAAUGCAGCCGUUCACCUUACUGAGCUUCUUUGGGUGGGGAGGAACUUAGAAACUAUGCAAUAUAUGCAAUACUUCCCCUCCUUUUUGCCUCUGUAGUAGGUUUGCACAAUUUAAGGUCUUACAAGUUAUAUCCAGACCUGGCAUUAAUUCAUCCCGCUCAAGACCUGCUGCCUCGAAGUCCCUGGAGCUAACCUCUUCUCAAAAAGAAGGUCCAUGUGGCCCGCAAAGUCUGCACGAAGCAGCCAUGCAAGUGGAGUAUUGGAUACGGACAGAUUGCAAGUUACAGCCAAAGGCGGUAUGACAGCUUUAUUGCUGCUGCAUGAGCAACAUUGUCUUUGAUUGGGAAACAGGCCGAGGACUUGCAGAAAGUCAAAUGGGGCCUGUGGGUGUUUGGAAAGGCCAGCUAUCAGUUUCCUAUUAUCAUACACUAUGGGAAGGAGUUCUCAUCUUCAUAACCCUGCUCCAGAGAGGUUUGCCCUUCAGGACAAUAGGGUGGCCUCAGGAGAAGGACCUCAGUUGGACACAGUGAAAUGCUGCAUUUGCAAUAGCCAUGGAGCCCCUUGUUGGAACAGAUAUAAGAAUCAGUCAUGUCUUUGUCUUGGAGCUCGGCACCUCUUCUGGAGGAGUCCCCUGAUGAGAGAGGGAGACGGCUGAAUACGUAGUGUGAGAACCAUAUGGAUGGGAAGAAGUAACCUAGACCCAACAUGCAAGUUCAGGGAUUUCAAGACAGGAGGCCAAACACUGAAACAACAUCUGACAAAAAUUUCUCCCAGGGGUGAACAGGCUGCAGGAGAAGUGGAAAUUGCCACUCCUAUUUUGCUAGAUUUAUUUUUGAGAAGACCUUAUACACAGACACUGCCUUCAAGAAGAAACUUUGGAAUUUUAGGGCUAUUUGAAACCAGUGUAUAAGCAUAUGUUGUAUGUCAUGACUAUGAUGCCUAACAUGCAGUUGGAUGAAAAGCACUUGAAGUACCUUUAGACUGAGCCCACAAUAAAGUUCUCUAAUACUUCAGUGGAUGUAGCGCAUGUGAAGCUACUUCAGAAUGAAGCCCAUAAUCCUAGACCUCUUUUCAUGGGAGGCUGAAUAUAUGACGGUACUUACAAAAAACAAAUCACAAUGGAGGACUUGCAACAGUCCAUGGAGUUACACACUUUGCAGGGUUGCUUUUGGGGCAGCACAAGACUAGACAGUAAGACUUAAUUUAGCCUUAUGCAUGUGUACCAGGAUUUGCAUAAUUGAACUUUGCCACAGUUAAAUUCCAAAGUAAAACUAACUUGUGAAUCAAAGAAUAAUUCCAAAGAGUGAGGAGGUUCAUGCAUUCUACUGUUUUACUACUUUGUCCCACAACAAGUUGAAAUAUCAGAUGGACAAUGGAUUUGCAGAGUUACCGUCUCUUCUCGUGGCUCUCUCAAAUUUGGAUUACAAAUCCAAGAAACUGAAACUUGAGGUAACAAAUGUUGGCAUUAAAAAGUGGUAUUUGCUUCUCAGUAA